Molecule: long non-coding RNA, 332 nt
Filed under: Glycine max (soybean)
Lineage: Eukaryota; Viridiplantae; Streptophyta; Magnoliopsida; Fabales; Fabaceae
Description: long non-coding RNA (GMAX_LNC004208)
Source: RNAcentral
CUCAACUCGACAAUUACAUCCGCAUUAUGAAUCUGAACAAGCUCAUCAUCAUCAACCGACCCAACAGGUAAGGUCCCAGCCCCAGUCCGAACAAUUGCAAUCACAACCCCUGCCACAAUCCCCACGUGUAUUGCAACAACCUCAAAAUCCUCAAUAUAGCCCUCCUCAACAACAAUCACAACCUCAAUAUAGCCCUCCUCAACAACAUAUGCAACCUCAUAAUGAACCGCAACCACUACAGUAUCAGCCCCAGCACCAAACGCUGCAAUCUCAGCCUCAGCCCCAACCCGGACACAUUCAACAACCUCAACCGCAGCCACAAUUUCAGAAUC